AACCGCAAAGGGCUCAGUAAACCAGUUUUAAUUUACUAGAGUUUUUACGUUACGUACGUGGAUACCUGUGGUAAUUCUAGAGCUAAUACAUGCAAUUAAGUCCGGACCAGAAAUGGAAAGGACGCUUUUAUUAGAUCAAAACCAUUCGCCCGACUUGUUUGGGCGUUGUUUUGGUGAAUCUAGAUAACACUUGAGAUCGUACAGUCAUUGUACUGACGACAUCUCUUUCAAACGCCUGACUUAUCAGCUGUCGAUGGUAGACUCUGUGUCUACCAUGGCCCUCACGGGUAACGGGGAAUCAGGGUUCGAUUCCGGAGAGGGAGCCUGAGAAACGGCUACCACAUCCAAGGAAGGCAGCAGGCACGCAAAUUACCCACUCCCGGCACGGGGAGGUAGUGACAAAAAAUAACGAUACGGGACUCUAUUGAGGCCCCGUAAUCGGAAUGAGUACACUUUAAAUCCUUUAACAAGGAUCCAUUGGAGGGCAAGUCUGGUGCCAGCAGCCGCGGUAAUUCCAGCUCCAAUAGCGUAUAUUAAAGUUGUUGCGGUUAAAAAGCUCGUAGUUGGUUCUGCGUGCCGCGCUGUCGGUUCGCCGCCUGUCGGUGUAACUGGCAUGUCGCGGCAUGUCCUGUCGGUGGUGAACGAUGUUCUUCGGCGCAAGCUGAAGCUUAAUCGCUAAAGCUGGUGCCGUGUGUAAUGUCGUUUGCCGAUUUCUCCUACUCCGGUGCUCUUAAACGAGUGUCGAAGUAGGCCGACACGUUCACUUUGAACAAAUUAGAGUGCUUAAAGCAGGCUAAAAUAUCUGCCUGAAUAGUGGUGCAUGGAAUGAUAAAAUAGGACCUCGGUUCUAUUUUGUUGGUUUUAGGAAUAUGAGGUAAUGAUCAAUGUGGACUGGCGGGGGCAUUCGUAUUGCGACGUUAGAGGUGAAAUUCUUGGAUCGUCGCAAGACGCA
Molecule: ribosomal RNA, 952 nt
Filed under: Gardena sp.
Lineage: Eukaryota; Metazoa; Arthropoda; Insecta; Hemiptera; Reduviidae
Description: SSU rRNA
Rfam family: Eukaryotic small subunit ribosomal RNA
Source: RNAcentral